Molecule: non-coding RNA, 958 nt
Filed under: Pseudogramma paucilepis (Weakscaled podge)
Lineage: Eukaryota; Metazoa; Chordata; Actinopteri; Perciformes; Serranidae
Description: 12S ribosomal RNA
Rfam family: Bacterial small subunit ribosomal RNA
Source: RNAcentral
CAAAGGCUUGGUCCUGACUUUUCUGUCAGCUUUAGCUAGAUUUACACAUGCAAGUAUCCGCACUCCUGUGAGAAUGCCCUACAGUUCCCUGCUUGGGAACAAGGAGCUGAUAUCAGGCACAACCCCUACACCCUGCCCAUGACAUCUUGCUUGGCCACACCCCCACGGGAAUACAGCAGUGAUAAAUAUUAAGCCAUAAGUGUAAACUUGACUUAGUUAAAGCUAAGAGGGCCGGUAAAACUCGUGCCAGCUACCGCGGUUAGACGAGAGGCCCAAGUUGAUAGACUCCGGCGUAAAGAGUGGUUAAGAUAACAAAAAUACUAAAGCCAAAUAGCUACAAGGCUGUUAUACGCAUCCGAGAGCUAGAGGCCCAACCACGAAAGUUGCUUUACUAUACUGAACCCACGAAAGCCAAGGCACAAACUGGGAUUAGAUACCCCACUAUGCCUGGUCCUAAACAUUGAUAGCACACUACACUUCACUAUCCGCCUGGGAACUACGAGCAUUAGCUUAAAACCCAAAGGACUUGGCGGUGCUUUAGAUCCAUCUAGAGGAGCCUGUUCUAUAACCGAUAACCCCCGUUCAACCUCACCUUUUCUUGUCUCCUCCGCCUAUAUACCGCCGUCGUCAGCUUACCCUAUGAAGGCUCUAUAGUAAGCAAAAUUGGUACAGCCCAAGACGUCAGGUCGAGGUGUAGCGUAUGAAAAGGGAAGAAAUGGGCUACAUUCCACCCACCCCGAGGAAUACGAAAACUAUGCUGAAACGCAUUUUUAAAGGAGGAUUUAGCAGUAAGAGAAAAAUAGAGUGUUUCUCUGAAUCUGGCCCUGAAGCGCGCACACACCGCCCGUCACUCUCCCCGAGCACACCCGACUUAGCUAACUAACACACUACUAAUAACUAAGGGGAGGCAAGUCGUAACAUGGUAAGUGUACCGGAAGGUGUACUUGGCAUAAACUUC